UGAGGAAUAUUGGUCAAUGGGCGCAAGCCUGAACCAGCCAUCCCGCGUGAAGGAAGAAGGCGCUAUGCGUUGUAAACUUCUUUUCCAGGGGGAGAAUUUUUCCGUCGUGACGGGAAUUGACGGUACUCUGGGAAUAAGCAUCGGCUAACUCCGUGCCAGCAGCCGCGGUAAUACGGAGGAUGCGAGCGUUAUCCGGAUUUAUUGGGUUUAAAGGGUGCGUAGGCGGAUAGAUAAGUCAGUGGUGAAAUUCUGCAGCUUAACUGUAGACUUGCCGUUGAUACUGUCAGUCUUGAGUAUGGUCAAGGCAGGCGGAAUGUGUAAUGUAGCGGUGAAAUGCUUAGAUAUUACACAGAACACCGAUUGCGAAGGCAGCUUGCUGGGCCAUUACUGACGCUGAUGCACGAAAGCGUGGGGAUCGAACA
RNAcentral lists this ribosomal RNA (422 nucleotides) under uncultured prokaryote. Its description in RNAcentral is "bacterial SSU rRNA". It matches the Rfam family "Bacterial small subunit ribosomal RNA", at positions 355 to 774 of the family's 1533-position model. The record is from RNAcentral.